AGUGAACGCUGGCGGUAGGCCUAACACAUGCAAGUCGAACGGCAGCACAGUAAGAGCUUGCUCUUACGGGUGGCGAGUGGCGGACGGGUGAGGAAUACAUCGGAAUCUACUUUUUCGUGGGGGAUAACGUAGGGAAACUUACGCUAAUACCGCAUACGACCUACGGGUGAAAGCAGGGGAUCUUCGGACCUUGCGCGAUUGAAUGAGCCGAUGUCGGAUUAGCUAGUUGGCGGGGUAAAGGCCCACCAAGGCGACGAUCCGUAGCUGGUCUGAGAGGAUGAGCAGGCACACUGGAACUGAGACACGGUCCAGACUCCUACGGGAGGCAGCAGUGGGGAAUAUUGGACAAUGGGCGCAAGCCUGAUCCAGCCAUACCGCGUGGGUGAAGAAGGCCUUCGGGUUGUAAAGCCCUUUUGUUGGGAAAGAAAAGCAGCAGGUUAAUACCCCGCUGUUCUGACGGUACCCAAAGAAUAAGCACCGGCUAACUUCGUG
This 492-nucleotide ribosomal RNA is filed under the name uncultured bacterium. RNAcentral describes it as "partial 16S ribosomal RNA". It matches the Rfam family "Bacterial small subunit ribosomal RNA", at positions 29 to 507 of the family's 1533-position model. The record is from RNAcentral.